This is a non-coding RNA of Pelobates cultripes (western spadefoot toad), 327 nucleotides long. The record is from the annotation of a GenBank genome assembly. Lineage: Eukaryota; Metazoa; Chordata; Amphibia; Anura; Pelobatidae.
UGUUAAACAACUUUCACUGCAUGCAGGUUGUCCUUUUUCUUACAAAACUGGGGAACUAUAUCCUCAGAUGCCUGCAUUCUUCAGACAGUUCAAGGUUACGUCAGAGAAUUCUGUUCUCCCCCAGGACAGGUGUACCCUCCUCUUCCGCUAUGUGUUUUCAGGGAGUCCCUCAUCAACUAAUAGAUCCAGUCGCUGUUCAAUAUGCACAGGAUGACGGUAUCUUCACCAACAUCUUUCUGGUUCAGAAGAAAACAGACUUUCGACUAGUUAUACUCUCGUUUGUGGUACAACAUUUCAAAAUGAAAGGCAUACAUCUGCUAUGUGAUC